UCGGGAAUUUUGGGCAAUGGGCGAAAGCCUGACCCAGCAACGCCGCGUGAAGGAUGAAGUAUUUCGGUAUGUAAACUUCGAAAGAAUAGGAAGAAUAAAUGACGGUACUAUUUAUAAGGUCCGGCUAACUACGUGCCAGCAGCCGCGGUAAUACGUAGGGACCAAGCGUUGUUCGGAUUUACUGGGCGUAAAGGGCGCGUAGGCGGCAAUUCAAGUCAUCUGUGAAAUCUCCGGGCUUAACUCGGAACGGUCAGAUGAUACUGCUUUGCUAGAGUGCAGAAGGGGCAAUCGGAAUUCUUGGUGUAGCGGUGAAAUGCGUAGAUAUCAAGAGGAACACCUGAGGUGAGGACGGGUUGCUGGGCUGACACUGACGCUGAGGCGCGAAAGCCAGGGGAGCAAACGGGAUUAGAUACCCACGUAGUCCCUGAGCGGGCUGGCAAGGCGCAU
Molecule: ribosomal RNA, 447 nt
Filed under: uncultured bacterium
Lineage: Bacteria
Description: bacterial SSU rRNA
Rfam family: Bacterial small subunit ribosomal RNA
Source: RNAcentral